CUCCCGCCCGCAGCACUCACCUGCGGUGCCCGCGGGCGACUGGAUCCUGAAGGCGGCCGGCUCGGCCCAUCCCGGGUGCGACGGGGGCCGGCUCCAGGGUCUGGGGGUCCCGUGCAGCAGAUUAGGAAACCAAGACGCGGAAGCGACAGGGAGCGGAGCUGAUGUGCAACCACCUUCGGACCUGGUGUCUGCACCCUGGCCUUGCCAGGAAGCUACGCUUCGUCAAGUGCCAGCUGAAGUGCACGGGGCCCGGUGGAGGAACCUGGAGCCCUGGGCCAUGGGAGAUCCACUGUGUAUACACAGGAGCGGGCAGCCUGGAAUCGGCCCUCUCCUGGGAAUUAACACUGUAACAGAAGACAAUGGACUAAUUCAUGUUCCUUAACUUUUAUUUUUAUAUUUUCCAAUGUAGGAAAAAUUAUAUGAUGUGUUUUAAUUCUAAUUAAAUGUUUUUUUAAAAAAAAACAUUCUAUUUAAUUUCAUCAACAUAACCUGUCUCAGACUGAUCUA
Molecule: long non-coding RNA, 507 nt
Organism: Pipistrellus kuhlii (Kuhl's pipistrelle)
Lineage: Eukaryota; Metazoa; Chordata; Mammalia; Chiroptera; Vespertilionidae
Exons: 2
Source: RefSeq, a predicted model, not a curated record